This 69-nucleotide transfer RNA is filed under the name Sillago sinica. Its description in RNAcentral is "tRNA-Phe". It matches the Rfam family "tRNA". From Rfam's summary of the family: Transfer RNA (tRNA) molecules are approximately 80 nucleotides in length. Their secondary structure includes four short double-helical elements and three loops (D, anti-codon, and T loops). Lineage: Eukaryota; Metazoa; Chordata; Actinopteri; Sillaginidae. The record is from RNAcentral.
GCUAGCGUAGCUUAUUUAAAGCAUAACACUGAAGAUGUUAAGAUGGGCCCUAAACUGGCUUCGCGGGCA